RNAcentral lists this long non-coding RNA (398 nucleotides) under Setaria viridis. RNAcentral's name for it is "long non-coding RNA (SVIR_LNC003978)". The record is from RNAcentral. Lineage: Eukaryota; Viridiplantae; Streptophyta; Magnoliopsida; Poales; Poaceae.
UGCUGUCAAGGGCCAGACCAGUCUGUCAAACCGGUUAGACUGGUUUGCCCAAUCAGCACACACACAAAACAAUCAUCAACCAUAACAUGCAUAUCAAACUAACACAAAGUCACUUAAGAGCAUAAAUAAGUUCUACACACACAGUAGCACAUAUUACAAGUUAUCAAGUCCACAUAGGAAUUAAAUUUGAAUUAUUACAGAACUAUCUCUCAGCCAACAGAACAGACCGUCCCUCUGACCGGUCAGACCGGUGACUACUGACCAGCUACACUAAGUCCUAAAGAUGAAGCUGCUUUAAUCCAUUUCUUCUCCCCCUUUGUCAUCAAGCAUCCAUAAAAGAGCUUGGAGAAGAUGUAGCUGUAGUCACUGAUCCUCAUGUCCAUUUCUUGUUCCUCCCG